AGCGACGACGGUAGCCGCCUGAGAGGUGACCGGCACACUGGGACUGAGACACGGCCCAGACUCCUACGGAGGCAGCAGUGGGAAUAUUGCACAAUGGGCGAAAGCCUGAUGCAGCGACGCCGCGUGAGGGAUGACGGCCUUCGGGUUGUAAACCUCUUUCAGUAGGGAAGAAGCGAAAGUGACGGUACCUGCAGAAGAAGCACCGGCUAACUACGUGCCAGCAGCCGCGGUAAUACGUAGGGUGCGAGCGUUAUCCGGAAUUAUUGGGCGUAAAGAGCUCGUAGGCGGUUUGUCGCGUCUGUCGUGAAAGUCCGGGGCUUAACCCCGGAUCUGCGGUGGGUACGGGCAGACUAGAGUGCAGUAGGGGAGACUGGAAUUCCUGGUGUAGCGGUGGAAUGCGCAGAUAUCAGGAGGAACACCGAUGGCGAAGGCAGGUCUCUGGGCUGUAACUGACGCUGAGGAGCGAAAGCAUGGGGAGCGAACAGGAUUAGAUACCCUGGUAGUCCAUGCCGUAAACGUUGGGCACUAGGUGUGGGGACCAUUCCACGGUUUCCGCGCCGCAGCUAACGCAUUAAGUGCCCCGCCUGGGGAGUACGGCCGCAAGGCUAAAACUCAAAGGAAUUGACGGGGGCCCGCACAAGCGGCGGAGCAUGCGGAUUAAUUCGAUGCAACGCGAAGAACCUUACCAAGGCUUGACAUGUUCUCGAUCGCCGUAGAGAUACGGUUUCCCCUUUGGGGCGGGUUCACAGGUGGUGCAUGGUUGUCGUCAGCUCGUGUCGUGAGAUGUUGGGUUAAGUCCCGCAACGAGCGCAACCCUCGUUCCAUGUUGCCAGCACGUCGUGGUGGGGACUCAUGGGAGACUGCCGGGGUCAACUCGGAGGAAGGUGAGGACGACGUCAAAUCAUCAUGCCCCUUAUGUCUUGGGCUUCACGCAUGCUACAAUGGCCGGUACAAUGGGUUGCGAUACUGUGAGGUGGAGCUAAUCCCAAAAAGCCGGUCUCAGUUCGGAUUGGGGUCUGCAACUCGACCCCAUGAAGUCGGAGUCGCUAGUAAUCGCAGAUCAGCAACGCUGCGGUGAAUACGUUCCCGGGCCUUGUACACACCGCCCGUCAAGUCACGAAAGUCGGUAACACCCGAAGCCGGUGGCCUAACCCUUGUGGGGGAGCCGUCGAAGGU
This is a ribosomal RNA of 1176 nucleotides. It matches the Rfam family "Bacterial small subunit ribosomal RNA", at positions 272 to 1463 of the family's 1533-position model.